CCUACGGGCGGCUGCAGUGGGGAAUAUUGGACAAUGGGCGAAAGCCUGAUCCAGCCAUGCCGCGUGUGUGAAGAAGGCCUUCGGGUUGUAAAGCACUUUCAGUGGGGAAGAAAGCCUUGGGGCUAAUACCCUCGAGGAAGGACAUCACCCACAGAAGAAGCACCGGCUAACUCCGUGCCAGCAGCCGCGGUGAAUACGGAGGGUGCGAGCGUUAAUCGGAAUUACUGGGCGUAAAGCGCGCGUAGGCGGUCUGAUAAGCCGGUUGUGAAAGCCCCGGGCUCAACCUGGGAACGGCAUCCGGAACUGUCAGGCUAGAGUGCAGGAGAGGAAGGUAGAAUUCCCGGUGUAGCGGUGAAAUGCGUAGAGAUCGGGAGGAAUACCAGUGGCGAAGGCGGCCUUCUGGACUGACACUGACGCUGAGGUGCGAAAGCGUGGGUAGCAAACAGGAUUAGAUACCCGAGUAGUC
RNAcentral lists this ribosomal RNA (466 nucleotides) under Vreelandella stevensii. RNAcentral's name for it is "partial 16S ribosomal RNA". It matches the Rfam family "Bacterial small subunit ribosomal RNA", at positions 338 to 795 of the family's 1533-position model. Lineage: Bacteria; Pseudomonadati; Pseudomonadota; Gammaproteobacteria; Oceanospirillales; Halomonadaceae. The record is from RNAcentral.